UACGGAGGAUGCAAGCGUUAUCCGGAUUUAUUAGGUUUAAAGGGUGCGCAGGUUGUUUGAUAAGUCAGUGGUGAAAGUCUGUCGCUUAACGGUAGGAUUGCCAUUGAUACUGUUGGACUUGAAUAUGGAUGAGGUAGGCGGAAUGUGUAGUGUAGCGGUGAAAUGCAUAGAUAUUACACAGAACACCGAUUGCGAAGGCAGCUUACUAAUCCAUCAUUGACGCUGAGGCACGAAAGCGUGGGGAUCAAACA
RNAcentral lists this ribosomal RNA (251 nucleotides) under uncultured prokaryote. RNAcentral's name for it is "partial 16S ribosomal RNA". It matches the Rfam family "Bacterial small subunit ribosomal RNA", at positions 524 to 774 of the family's 1533-position model. The record is from RNAcentral.